This 82-nucleotide microRNA precursor is filed under the name Plutella xylostella (diamondback moth). Its description in RNAcentral is "microRNA pxy-mir-8501 precursor". Lineage: Eukaryota; Metazoa; Arthropoda; Insecta; Lepidoptera; Plutellidae. The record is from miRBase by way of RNAcentral.
AGAACCGACGCGAAUGACAACUUCAGAUGCACUCAAGAUUACUAUCUUGAGUGCAUCUGAAGUUGUAAUUCGCGUCGGUAAC